RNAcentral lists this ribosomal RNA (460 nucleotides) under uncultured bacterium. Its description in RNAcentral is "partial 16S ribosomal RNA". It matches the Rfam family "Bacterial small subunit ribosomal RNA", at positions 338 to 795 of the family's 1533-position model. The record is from RNAcentral.
CCUACGGGAGGCAGCAGUGAGGAAUAUUGGUCAAUGGACGAGAGUCUGAACCAGCCAAGUCGCGUGAAGGAUGACUGCCCUAUGGGUUGUAAACUUCUUUUAUAUGGGAAUAAAAUGUUCCACGUGUGGGAUGUUGUAUGUACCAUAUGAAUAAGGAUCGGCUAACUCCGUGCCAGCAGCCGCGGUAAUACGGAGGAUCCGAGCGUUAUCCGGAUUUAUUGGGUUUAAAGGGGGCGUAGGGGGAUUUUUAAGUCAGUUGUUAAACUUUGCGGCUCAACCCUAAAAUUGCAGUUGAAACUGGAAGUCUUGAGUACAGUAGAGGUGGGCGGAAUUAGUGGUGUAGCGGUGAAAUGCUUAGAUAUAACGAAGAACUCCGAUUGCGAAGGCAGCUCACUGGACUGCAACUGACGCUGAGGCUCGAAAGUGUGGGUAGCGAACAGGAUUAGAUACCCGUGUAGUC